This 252-nucleotide ribosomal RNA is filed under the name uncultured Bacteroidales bacterium. RNAcentral's name for it is "partial 16S ribosomal RNA". It matches the Rfam family "Bacterial small subunit ribosomal RNA", at positions 524 to 776 of the family's 1533-position model. The record is from RNAcentral. Lineage: Bacteria; Pseudomonadati; Bacteroidota; Bacteroidia; Bacteroidales.
UACGGAGGAUGCGAGCGUUAUCCGGAUUUAUUGGGUUUAAAGGGUGCGCAGGCGGAAGAUCAAGUCAGCGGUAAAAUUGAGAGGCUCAACCUCUUCGAGCCGUUGAAACUGGUUCUCUUGAGUGGGCGAGAAGUAUGCGGAAUGCGUGGUGUAGCGGUGAAAUGCAUAGAUAUCACGCAGAACUCCGAUUGCGAAGGCAGCUUACCAAGCUACUUCUGACGUUGAGGCACGAAAGCGUGGGGAGCAAACAGG